UACGAGGGGGGGCAAAUGUUGUUCGGAAUCACUGGGCGUAAAGGGUCCGUAGGCGGCUCAGCAAGUCGGGUGUGAAAUCUCCAGGCUCAACCUGGAGGGGCCACUCGAUACUGCUGUGGCUUGAGUCCAGUAGGGGAGCAUGGAAUUCCCGGUGUAGAGGUGAAAUUCGUAGAUAUCGGGAGGAACACCGGUGGCGAAGGCGGCGACCUGGGUGGAUACUGACGCUGAGGCGCGAAAGCGUGGGGAGCAAACAGG
RNAcentral lists this ribosomal RNA (255 nucleotides) under uncultured bacterium. RNAcentral describes it as "partial 16S ribosomal RNA". It matches the Rfam family "Bacterial small subunit ribosomal RNA", at positions 524 to 776 of the family's 1533-position model. The record is from RNAcentral.